Parus major (Great Tit) is the source of this 1568-nucleotide long non-coding RNA. NCBI's taxonomy places the organism in Eukaryota, Metazoa, Chordata, Aves, Passeriformes, Paridae. The record is from Ensembl.
GGUGCAUUUAAUUAUGCAACAGAGCCUCGGCCGCAGGGAGGUGCUGAUUGGGCUGGCAAGCCCCGGGCACGGCGGAUGGUGGCCGGGCACAGGGGACGAGCCAGGGCCACUCGCGCAGGGAGCAGAGGCAGGGCCGAGGGCCGAGGAGGAGCUCCCCACCCCGGGGCAGCAGCGGGGCCCGGAGGAGCAGGGCCCGGAGGAGCAGGGCCCGCAGCAUGACAGAAGAAGCCCCCGCAGGUGCCACCAUGCCGGCCUGCAAUGGCAGCGUCCCCCCGGGGGACGGCCCGCUCCAGGUCAUCGGUGGCAUCCAAGAAAUCGCAAAAUCUCUCGGGACGGUCCCGUACGCAAACGAGGAGACGAGCCCUGACACCUCACCUGCAAGGGAAAAUCCGGAGGAAAAUAGGAAUUCAUUGGCAGAGGACACCACUCCUGAGAAUUGUGCUGGAGAGAAGCGAUGCCAAGAAAAGCGAGAGGAGAGCGUUGGGACACUACAGCAGGGAGCAGCGGAUAUCCAGGACACAGGGACCAGUGGCCAGGGAUCAGGGGAAGGUAAUGCCAAAUGCCAAAUGCCAUCUGCUCCGGGGUUUCCCUGAUGUGCAUCAAAGAGACAAUGGAUGCAGGUGGUGAUUAUCUUGUUUAAACUGGGUCAGACCCUUCUAUCCCAGAGAGCAGGGACUCAUUUCCCACCUGUGAGCUGCUGCACCUUAGAAACCAGAACGGGUAUGUUCCUUGCUGAGGUUUUACAUAACUCACUGACCAUGGGCUACUCAAGCACUGUGGGGUCUUCAGCCAGGAGGUCCCCAACAGCCUCAUGAGGCUUAGAGAUACUCUAUCUUCUGCGCCACGCUCAGAGGAGAACCCUGUGAGGCUGCUGGUGGUCACAAAACCCAAAUCCUUUUUUUGCCUGAUUCACCAAGUGUUGAAUCCCUCAGUACCCAAGUAUCCACAUAAAAUCUCUGAGCAGCUGCUCCUGGGUCUUGCUCUGCUCAUUUCUGAGUGGAAAUGGUGGGACUGAGCAGGAGCCAAGGCUGGAGCCUCAGCCACCUCCUGUGGUAAGCAGGGCUGCAGGGGGGUCCCAGUCUCGAGUUAAAAAUGCACCAAGUAUAUACAGAAAUUAAUAUCUUUAAUUCACUAUGCAAACUGCAGCCACUUCUCCAAAAGGAGGAGUAUUUUGUGUUACUGGAGGAGAGCAGCCAGAUCUCUCCAAGAGGGGCUCUAGGCAUUGCUCCUUUCCUCAUCUCCAGCACAGGCUCCUCCUGUCUCGUUGGCUUUGGCAGUGGUGGGACAGGGGUGGCUGGGCCGGGAGCCGCUGGUGAUGCUCUGCCCUGAGCUUUGGAACGGGCUCUAAAUGAGCCACGGGCUGUGCCCUGCAAGCAAAACCUGCUUCCAUUGACAAAGGGAAAAAUAUCUGAACGUUUGUCAUGGGCAAAUUAGUGUUUCACAGGACAGGCUGUGAGGAGAUGAACAGUGGUGGAGGCUUUCCCAUUGAGAGCUGACAUCCGUAUUCCAGCUGUGCUGCUUUAGGAGCACACAAUAAAACCUAUUAAAGGAUCUCUCGUGGGCCCCCU